CUGAAAUACUGUUAUAUUGUUUUCCUGCGAGUUAAAGUGCUGAGUAAGAACGAGAUAGAUAUAUGUUUAUGUAUGUGCCUUCAAAAUGGGUGCUAUUUAUAUAAGCAAUUGUACGUAUAGAACAAUAUGUCGUGUCCCUACUAUAUAGGUCUAUGUCGUGUCCCUACUAUAUAGGUCUACUAUGGAAUGACACCACAGUGACAUUGACAAUGUACAGCAUACGAAAAUCAUAAUCAAAUCUGCUUCCGAACUUUUUGGCGGGAGCGUGAGGCACCAAGCUGUAUAAAUAGUUAAAUUUUGUCGUGGUUUAGGUUUUUUCAGAUUUAUUAUCUAUUUAGUAUCUGUGAAAGUGCUUAAAUAUGGCUUCAAAAAGUCCACUGGAAAAGUCUCGCUGUAAGUGUCUAAUACUGGUACCUUAAUCAUAAUUAACUUUAUUAGUACCUGUGAAAAUAUAUUAUUAACAAAUUUAUCAAAAUGGCUGAACGUGGCUUCCAAAAAGUCCUUUGAACUUUCAAUAAACAAACAACAUUUACUGAAA
Molecule: long non-coding RNA, 538 nt
Organism: Bombyx mori (domestic silkworm)
Lineage: Eukaryota; Metazoa; Arthropoda; Insecta; Lepidoptera; Bombycidae
Exons: 2
Source: RefSeq, a predicted model, not a curated record